This 83-nucleotide transfer RNA is filed under the name Corynebacterium uberis. RNAcentral describes it as "tRNA-Leu". It matches the Rfam family "tRNA". Rfam says of the family: Transfer RNA (tRNA) molecules are approximately 80 nucleotides in length. Their secondary structure includes four short double-helical elements and three loops (D, anti-codon, and T loops). The record is from RNAcentral. Lineage: Bacteria; Bacillati; Actinomycetota; Actinomycetes; Mycobacteriales; Corynebacteriaceae. RNAcentral also lists the same sequence under 1 other name.
GCGCCCGUGGCGGAAUAGGCAGACGCGCUGGAUUUAGGUUCCAGUGUCCGACGGACGUGGGGGUUCAAGUCCCCCCGGGCGCA